CGGCACGUAGCGCAGCCUGGUAGCGCACUGUCAUGGGGGUGUCAGGGGUCGGAGGUUCAAAUCCUCUCGUGCCGACCA
This 78-nucleotide transfer RNA is filed under the name Atlantibacter hermannii. RNAcentral's name for it is "tRNA-???(gggg)". It matches the Rfam family "tRNA". From Rfam's summary of the family: Transfer RNA (tRNA) molecules are approximately 80 nucleotides in length. Their secondary structure includes four short double-helical elements and three loops (D, anti-codon, and T loops). Lineage: Bacteria; Pseudomonadati; Pseudomonadota; Gammaproteobacteria; Enterobacterales; Enterobacteriaceae. The record is from RNAcentral.